GGCUCUGGCCCUCCACGCCCGGUGGGCUUCCCGCGGGACCUUUGCGAGGCCAGGCUGGGAAAAUGAGAAGGCACAUACCCGCCCUCGCCACAGACGUCUCCACUGAGGCUUGGACCUCUCUCCUUCGUACCCAGCUCUCCAGGCUUGGGUCACGCCGGGAAAGCCCACCUCCCCUCCCCGCAGGCGUCGUCCUUACACCCCAGGAAGCGUUUUCAGUAAGAAAGACAAGAGGGCAAGGAGGGAAAACCUUGCGCACCUCUCUGGCCACCAUGGUCAGGUGGACCUGCCCUCCACACGGGCAGACCCCCUUCUCUAUGACCGGGUGGCCUUCUCUGGGGAGUCUGGGGUGUGUUUCCGAAUUGGCUGAACUCCAUGGAUUAACCCCUCCUCCCCCCAAUAAUGUACGUACUUAAUACACACGACAAUUUAAUAAUCGCCAGGGGUCUCAGAACCCGGACAGCUAGAUGCUAGGAGGAGAAAGGGCUGUCCGACUUUUUUUCCCCCUCGGGGACAGAGUUCAGAGCCAGCGCGUCCUCCUGCCCCUCCAGUUCAUUCCCCAAUUUGGGGUUUCGAUUUUUCCGGGAAAAGUUAAUCUGUCUUGAUGGGCUGGAGAGGGGGUCUGGGCGCGCCAGGCGGAGACCUGAGAAGACGCUGGCGGAGGAGGUGUGCGAAAGAGGAAAGAGGCGCGCUCUGGGCGGAGACCCUCCCCGACUUGCCUCUGGAGGCUGUGCUAGGAGAGCGUCGAAACCUGACGAGGCUGGAGAGAUCCGAGUCGGGAGAGGCCGGGCUGGGCAGGACGUCCCGGCCGCGCCCCGUCCGACGCGCUGAUGGAUUGGCUUGUCAGGAGAGCUCCGUGCGCGGAGCCCAUCAGAAAGCACUUACCUCGCUAAACUGAAAUUACUGUCUUUUCAAGGGCUAAUUUGUGUAACUCCCAUGGAGGGGCAUGCAGGGGGUUUGAUGAGGCAUAAAAUGAUGAUUAAUGAAUUUAUUGGCCGAUGCUCAUCAAAC
Molecule: long non-coding RNA, 1008 nt
Filed under: Marmota monax (woodchuck)
Lineage: Eukaryota; Metazoa; Chordata; Mammalia; Rodentia; Sciuridae
Source: RNAcentral